AUACGGAGGAUGCAAGCGUUAUCCGGAUUUAUUGGGUUUAAAGGGUGCGUAGGCGGUUUGCUAAGCGGGAGGUGAAAUGCCGGCGCUCAACGUCGGAAGUGCCUCCCGAACUGGUGGACUGGAAUGACUCUGCCGUGGGAGGAAUGUGUAGUGUAGCGGUGAAAUGCUUAGAGAUUACACAGAACACCGAUUGCGAAGGCAUCUCACGAAGGGUUGAUUGACGCUGAGGCACGAAAGCGUGGGGAUCAAACAGGAUUAGAUACCCUGGUAGUCCACGCAGUAAACGAUGAUGGCUAACCGCUGGGCUUAUCAGUUCAGUGGCCAAGCGAAAGCGAUAAGCCAUCCACCUGGGGAGUACGACCGCAAGGUUGAAACUCAAAUGAAUUGGCGGGG
RNAcentral lists this ribosomal RNA (393 nucleotides) under uncultured bacterium. RNAcentral's name for it is "partial 16S ribosomal RNA". It matches the Rfam family "Bacterial small subunit ribosomal RNA", at positions 523 to 918 of the family's 1533-position model. The record is from RNAcentral.